Molecule: ribosomal RNA, 538 nt
Filed under: uncultured bacterium
Lineage: Bacteria
Description: bacterial SSU rRNA
Rfam family: Bacterial small subunit ribosomal RNA
Source: RNAcentral
ACGAAGUCUGACGGAGCAACGCCGCGUGAGUGAUGAAGGUUUUCGGAUCGUAAAACUCUGUUGUUAGGGAAGAACAAGUACCGUUCGAAUAGGGCGGUACCUUGACGGUACCUAACCAGAAAGCCACGGCUAACUACGUGCCAGCAGCCGCGGUAAUACGUAGGUGGCAAGCGUUGUCCGGAAUUAUUGGGCGUAAAGCGCGCGCAGGCGGUUUCUUAAGUCUGAUGUGAAAGCCCCCGGCUCAACCGGGGAGGGUCAUUGGAAACUGGGGAACUUGAGUGCAGAAGAGGAGAGUGGAAUUCCACGUGUAGCGGUGAAAUGCGUAGAGAUGUGGAGGAACACCAGUGGCGAAGGCGACUCUCUGGUCUGUAACUGACGCUGAGGCGCGAAAGCGUGGGGAGCGAACAGGAUUAGAUACCCUGGUAGUCCACGCCGUAAACGAUGAGUGCUAAGUGUUAGAGGGUUUCCGCCCUUUAGUGCUGCAGCAAACGCAUUAAGCACUCCGCCUGGGGAGUACGGUCGCAAGACUGAAACUCAA